This 467-nucleotide ribosomal RNA is filed under the name uncultured bacterium. RNAcentral's name for it is "partial 16S ribosomal RNA". It matches the Rfam family "Bacterial small subunit ribosomal RNA", at positions 28 to 506 of the family's 1533-position model. The record is from RNAcentral.
GACGAACGCUGGCGGCGUGCUUAACACAUGCAAGUCGAACGGAAAGGCCCUGCUUUUGUGGGGUGCUCGAGUGGCGAACGGGUGAGUAACACGUGAGUAACCUGCCCUUGACUUUGGGAUAACUUCAGGAAACUGGGGCUAAUACCGGAUAGGAGCUCCUGCUGCAUGGUGGGGGUUGGAAAGUUUCGGCGGUUGGGGAUGGACUCGCGGCUUAUCAGCUUGUUGGUGGGGUAGUGGCUUACCAAGGCUUUGACGGGUAGCCGGCCUGAGAGGGUGACCGGCCACAUUGGGACGGGGAUACGGCCCAGACCCCUACGGGAGGAAGCAGUGGGGAAUAUUGCACAAGGGGGGGAAGCCGGAUGCAGCAACGCCGGGGGCGGGAGGAGGGCCUUCGGGUUGGAAACCGCUUUCGCCUGUGACGAAGCGGGGGUGACGGUAAUGGGUAAAGAAGCACCGGCGAACUACGU